CAGCAGCCACGGGAAUACAGAGGGUGCGAGCAUUAAUCGGAUUUACUGGGCGUAAAGCGUGCGUAGGCGGCUUCUUAAGUCGGAUGUGAAAUCCCUGAGCUUAACUUAGGAAUUGCAUUCGAUACUGGGAAGCUAGAGUAUGGGAGAGGAUGGUAGAAUUCCAGGUGUAGCGGUGAAAUGCGUAGAGAUCUGGAGGAAUACCGAUGGCGAAGGCAGCCAUCUGGCCUAAUACUGACGCUGAGGUACGAAAGCAUGGGGAGCAAACAGGAUUAGAGACCCCCGUAGUCCCUGUCUCUUAUAC
RNAcentral lists this ribosomal RNA (301 nucleotides) under uncultured bacterium. RNAcentral describes it as "partial 16S ribosomal RNA". It matches the Rfam family "Bacterial small subunit ribosomal RNA", at positions 509 to 807 of the family's 1533-position model. The record is from RNAcentral.